AGUGAACGCUGGCGGUAGGCCUAACACAUGCAAGUCGAACGGCAGCACAGUAAGAGCUUGCUCUUACGGGUGGCGAGUGGCGGACGGGUGAGGAAUACAUCGGAAUCUACUUUUUCGUGGGGGAUAACGUAGGGAAACUUACGCUAAUACCGCAUACGACCUACGGGUGAAAGCAGGGGAUCUUCGGACCUUGCGCGAUUGAAUGAGCCGAUGUCGGAUUAGCUAGUUGGCGGGGUAAAGGCCCACCAAGGCGACGAUCCGUAGCUGGUCUGAGAGGAUGAGCAGCCACACGGGAGGUGGGACACGGUAGCGACGAACACGGGAGGCAGCAGUGGGGAAUAUUGGACAAUGGGCGCAGGCUUGAACCGCCCAUACGGGGUGAGAGAAGAGGGCCUGCGUGUUAUAACGCUCUUUGGUUGGGAAAAAAAGGCAGAGGGUUAAUACCCCGCGUUCCGGCGGCGCCCGAAAUAGUAAGAAGGGCCAAGCUUGGUG
Molecule: ribosomal RNA, 492 nt
Filed under: uncultured bacterium
Lineage: Bacteria
Description: partial 16S ribosomal RNA
Rfam family: Bacterial small subunit ribosomal RNA
Source: RNAcentral